Molecule: ribosomal RNA, 253 nt
Filed under: uncultured bacterium
Lineage: Bacteria
Description: partial 16S ribosomal RNA
Rfam family: Bacterial small subunit ribosomal RNA
Source: RNAcentral
UACAGAGGGUGCAAGCGUUGUUCGGAAUUACUGGGCGUAAAGCGCGUGUAGGCGGCUUGGCAAGUCCUGUGUGAAAGCCCUGGGCUCAACCCAGGAAGUGCGCAGGAUACUGCUGAGCUCGAGUCCGGAAGAGGAGUGUGGAAUUCCUGGUGUAGCGGUGAAAUGCGCAGAUAUCAGGAGGAACACCGAUGGCGAAGGCAGCACUCUGGGACGGUACUGACGCUGAGACGCGAAAGCCAGGGGAGCAAACGGG